This 1345-nucleotide unclassified non-coding RNA is filed under the name Yarrowia lipolytica. The record is from RNAcentral. Lineage: Eukaryota; Fungi; Ascomycota; Dipodascomycetes; Dipodascales.
AGUGAGACGAGUUGGAAGAGUGAGUUGGAUGAGUGAUUGGAAGAGUGAUAGGAAGAGUUGGAUGAGUGUUAGGAAGAGUGAGUGGAAGAGUUGGACGAGUCAACGUCUCGCCGCGGCGAUAGCCACUAUUCAUUGGACUUGACCUUCUGCUGAGGCUGGAGUAUGGAACUUGCACCAUGAGUAUGAGUAUACUCGUAUGGUGCUGUACUUGAUCGCACUGUACUUGAUCUCACUGUACUCGAUCUCACUGUACUCAUUCGCCUCGUUCGUUACCCUCCGAACAAUCGCCUCUACCAUCGACCGUCUCCCGUCCCCGUCCCCGUCCCCGUCCCCGUCCCCGUCCCCGUCUACCGUCUACCGUACUUGAGCAUCUCAACAUCAGCAUCAGCAUCUUAGACCAAGAUAAACUUGUACAGUAGCUUGUAGCUAAUUUGUGGGGUAUCAAUGGAGCCAACAGUACAAUGCUCCAACGAUAGCACCACCAUUACCACCACCAUUACCAUCCUUUUCACUCUCCCUCUCCGACCGAUCCAGACCGCUACAACCACAAUAGAGCUCAUUCAACCGGCAACCCAACCAACUCAAUCCCGUGCAAAUUUGCCGCAAUUCCACCACAAACCUGUGCCAACCCCCGGAACAUGGCAGAAUGCAAGCACCUCCGCGAAAAGAAAGACUCUGUCGACCCGAACGGUUCGGAAAGUCGCCCGAGCUCGUCCAACGGCGUCUUUGAGCCGCACAAUUCGUGUCUUUCAACUCCCCAAACCCCAGAGCCCCGAGCAACUCUUGCUGUCAAGUCGGGAUCUCCAUCUCGAGUCUAACAGAGUUGCUAUGUUCCAGACCGGGUAGCGGUCCAGUGCGAUUUAUCCGCAAGUAGGUUGCUGUGAGUCAUCGCAUUUUGUUGCCAAGAUUGUUCGUUCGAGCUCUGGAGGGUAGCGGUUGGUGACUAAGCAGGGGGAGGGGUUGGGGAUAAAAGGGCCGAAACGGGUCACGGAGCAGACAUACAGACACCGCUGGAAUCAGCUCGUCCGGGGCUACGUGGUGAUAUAUGAUACUGCUGGCGGUAUUGUCGGAUCAUCGUUUUGGACGUGUUCCGAAGUAAUUGCAGGUUCGGUUCGGUUCCUAGUGCUCGGUCUGGUUGUUAAGCGACCGAUUAAGCGAUAUGAAUCGGAAAUGAAAUAAAUCACAAAAAAAGGAAUUAAAUAUUGAAAAGACAUUCGUACCAGGCUGUUUACGCAGCAAAAGUGGUGUGGUUUGGACGAGGUUGCAUUACAAGUGAAAAAGAAAUGAUUGAAGAGUCAAUUGAAAAAAGAAAUAAAUACAGAAAAUGGACAUCUGCAGUUUGUGA